Nanorana parkeri is the source of this 131-nucleotide long non-coding RNA. RefSeq lists it as uncharacterized. The record is from RefSeq and is a predicted model, not a curated record. NCBI's taxonomy places the organism in Eukaryota, Metazoa, Chordata, Amphibia, Anura, Dicroglossidae. The transcript is spliced from 3 exons.
CAUGGUCGACCAAAGAAGUUUAGUGCACGUGCUCAGCGUCAAAUCCAGAGGUUAUAUUUUGGAAAUAGACAUAUGAGUGAUGCCAGCAUUGCUGCAGAGGUUGAAGGGGUGGGUGUUCAGCCUGUUUAUUC